AUGACAGUGUCAUUUGUAAAAUCUUGCCAAGUUGUGUGUUUUAUGCAAAAAAACAUGAGUUUAGGAAACUGAGGACAAAUUACCGAAAUUAUGCAUGCCUUUAUACUCCCUGUGUAACUUUCUUUCUUGGUGAGGUAUCGGGGCACGCCUCGUAAGGAAAGCACAUAGGAUUGGUGGCUGUCAUUGUACAGAGUCUGUAACACAGAUACACCCAGAGGCAGCUCUGCUGCUGUCAUUACCAGUCAAGACACGAUAUCAAGGUGGCUCACCGCCCUCGAACUUUGUAAAAGAUGAUUUGCCUCUCACUGUACGCCCUGAUCGCCUCAGCUACGAUCUUGGCGUGCGUGCCCGUCUGCUACAGGCAAUUUGAAAUGCACAAAUUCGUCAAGUGCCUCAAGAAGUAACCCAGCUAUGAUAAUCUGCAUGACAUGCAUGACGGCCCUCAUAGCAGCAGGAUGUGUUUCCUGUGCCCCCAUACUCCUAGACACGUACUGGCCUUUCAAAAAGUGCUGCGAUACGAGCAAGCCAGAAAACACCUUAUCAACCUGCAAGAGUCCAUGCUGUCCGAAAAAAUCAACUGAAUAAAUUGUUGUCGUCGUGUAUGUCUAAGAGGUUUUAAUAAAUGUUUUAUUUCUCAGUU
This is a long non-coding RNA of Ostrinia nubilalis (European corn borer), 640 nucleotides long. RefSeq lists it as uncharacterized. The record is from RefSeq and is a predicted model, not a curated record. The transcript is spliced from 2 exons. NCBI's taxonomy places the organism in Eukaryota, Metazoa, Arthropoda, Insecta, Lepidoptera, Crambidae.